AACAAAUGUUUUCAAAAAUAUUUAUGCAUGUACAUGUGGUAUAUGUACCUCAAUUAAUUAAAAUCAUGUGUACAACUAAAAAUAUUUCUUUUAAACAUUGUAUAACUAAUUAGAACAAAAAAAUAAAAAAGUACAACUUGCCAAAACGAGUACAACUUGUAACUUUGGUACAACUAGUGCAUUUUGGCGGCUACACAUGUGUUUUUUGGCGGCUACACGUGUCUAAUGUGGAUCACGUGUUUGUUGUUUGGUCCUUUUAUUUUAUUUUUUUAUUUUUAUUGAAAUUGAAAGAGGGAAUCGGGAAUCGGGUAUAGCUAUGGUUUACUGUGCUUUUACUCUCUUCACUUCUUCUCCUUCUUUCUUUCUGGGUUGGUGCGAUUUCGUCUUUUAUUUUGGGUUUGCUAUUUAUGAGAAUGAGCUGCGAAUCAGGAGCAUCGGGAAUCUUAUGUGGGAUUUCUGUGGUUCUUUUCUUGUGAUAGGGCUGGGAAUAUCGUACAAUAAUCUAGUUAUACCAAGUUGAUCUUUUCCAUGCAGUUGUACUUAGUUUACCUAUCUCUUGAAACUUAAUAAACAACAUUAAGCUAAUCCAGAAUAGUUCAAAGACACACCAAUCCAAAAAAAAACACAACAAACCACAAACAUAUCUAAAGAGUUCACAUAUAAUAUGAUUCAAAAACACAACAUAAAAUAAAUCAAUUUCUUAGUGAAAAUAAACUAGCUAUGCCGAGGUCGCACAAGUUGUACUAUUCUAUCCAAGUUGUACAUAUCGUUGAAUCCCCAGAAUUUG
RNAcentral lists this long non-coding RNA (787 nucleotides) under Capsella rubella. RNAcentral describes it as "long non-coding RNA (CRUB_LNC000646)". Lineage: Eukaryota; Viridiplantae; Streptophyta; Magnoliopsida; Brassicales; Brassicaceae. The record is from RNAcentral.